UAAAAAAAUUUCACAACCUUUACUUUACACUUUAUGAAUGAACAUAAAAAUCAGAUCUAUUAGGAUCUACUAGGUCCGUGGUCUCGUAAAUUGAAGGGUCCUUCCCUCAAUUAUUCUCUCUUUUAGCUCCUAUCUGACCAAUCUUGUUAUAGAAUUUUUCGUAUGAUUUGAGAUAAGACAAAUCUUAUAAGAAAGAGUCAUAUUUCCAUCACAAAUAGUCUUCGUAUUUAUUUGCUUGGACCUAUAAAUUUUUGGGUAAGUUUUAAUAGGAGUAGAAGAAAAAUUCAUCACGUGAAAAGUGAUUCAACUUAUCCACAUUCAACAUUAGUGAUGUUUUUGCGUUUUAGCUUUGAAAAAUUUUCAACAAAAAAAAGGGAAAAGCAGGCACUGGGACAGUUUGGCAAAAGAUGUGCUUACUUACUAAGGUAGAAGUAUGGAUUUCAGAUCUCUAUUUGAAAUCUCAAAUGCUUUAUUUGUCAAGUUAUAGUGGAGAUUUAGGACAUCUGGAACCAUAUGGUCUACUUUUAUGUGAAAUAAAUACUAUAAGAAGAAACUCCUACUAUGAUUUCAUGGAAAGAGGGUUCACAAUUAUGGAAGAAAAUGCUGGAAGCUAGGGAUGAGGUGGAGCAUAGUAUCUGGUGGGAACCAAAAAAUGGUCAACUAGUUUUUGAAUGACAGGUGGAAUGAAGAUUUUCUUAAUCAACAAUUAUCAAGUUAUUUUUGUAAAUCACAUUCUUGCGGAAUAUCCUAGAAGAUUGCAAACAGAGAAGAGGGACAAACCUUGGUGGUUGCUUACUACUAAUUGGAACUUUUGAGUAAAAAGUUUUUCGGAUUUUGAUGUGUCAUGGUUUCAUGACACCUUCGAUGCUCAAAAUAAAGAAAUUAUGAAGGAACUUAGGUACUUUUACUCGGUAUGAUAUGUUUUUGUAUUGAUUGUGCAGGAAAAUAGGUUUCAAAGGAAAAACUCAGAAAAGGAUGAAAAAUUUGCUAAGUGAAGAGAAGUUGGUGACUUAUGAGUGUGGUCUACGAAUCAUUAAUUAGAUCCACGACUUGUGAUUGGGGUUCGUGAGUUGACUUCUGAAGCUGAAGGAAAAGUCUGAUUUCUACAAAUUCAUGAGUCGUGACUUCAAACCACGACCCGUGGGUGGCAGUCAUGUCAUAUACUGAAGACUGAUACUGAGCCUGAUUUUCAUGAUAAAGACCUAUGACUUAUGGGUCUGAUCCACAACUCCACCCAUGACUCGUAGCAUGUCCCGACUUAGUUUUCUUACAUAGUUUAUGAUAAGAUUUGUUUUGUAUCUAUAAAUACUCUCAUUGUAUUUUACGAUUAGUUUACACACUUUUACAUUAUUUUGAGUUUCUUAGACACA
Capsicum annuum is the source of this 1370-nucleotide long non-coding RNA. RefSeq lists it as uncharacterized. The record is from RefSeq and is a predicted model, not a curated record. Lineage: Eukaryota; Viridiplantae; Streptophyta; Magnoliopsida; Solanales; Solanaceae. The transcript has 2 exons.